AGUGAACGCUGGCGGUAGGCCUAACACAUGCAAGUCGAACGGCAGCACAGUAAGAGCUUGCUCUUACGGGUGGCGAGUGGCGGACGGGUGAGGAAUACAUCGGAAUCUACUUUUUCGUGGGGGAUAACGUAGGGAAACUUACGCUAAUACCGCAUACGACCUACGGGUGAAAGCAGGGGAUCUUCGGACCUUGCGCGAUUGAAUGAGCCGAUGUCGGAUUAGCUAGUUGGCGGGGUAAAGGCCCACCAAGGCGACGAUCCGUAGCUGGUCUGAGAGGAUGAUCAGCCACACUGGAACUGAGACAGGGUCCAGACUCCUACGGGAGGCAGCAGUGGGGAAUAUUGGACAAUGGGCGCAAGCCUGAUCCAGCCAUACCGCGUGGGUGAAGAAGGCCUUCGGGUUGUAAAGCCCUUUUGUUGGGAAAGAAAAGCAGCAGGUUAAUACCCCGCUGUUCUGACGGUACCCAAAGAAUAAGCACCGGCUAACUUCGU
RNAcentral lists this ribosomal RNA (491 nucleotides) under uncultured bacterium. RNAcentral describes it as "partial 16S ribosomal RNA". It matches the Rfam family "Bacterial small subunit ribosomal RNA", at positions 29 to 506 of the family's 1533-position model. The record is from RNAcentral.